UGGGGAAUAUUGCACAAUGGGCGCAAGCCUGAUGCAGCAACGCCGCGUGAGGGAUGACGGCCUUCGGGUUGUAAACCUCUUUUAGUAGGGAAGAAGCGAAAGUGACGGUACCUGCAGAAAAAGCACCGGCUAACUACGUGCCAGCAGCCGCGGUAAUACGUAGGGUGCGAGCGUUGUCCGGAAUUAUUGGGCGUAAAGAGCUCGUAGGCGGUCUGUCGCGUCUGCUGUGAAAACCCGAGGCUCAACCUCGGGCCCUGCAGUGGGUACGGGCAGACUAGAGUGCGGUAGGGGAGAAUGGAAUUCCUGGUGUAGCGGUGGAAUGCGCAGAUAUCAGGAGGAACACCGAUGGCGAAGGCAGUUCUCUGGGCCGUAACUGACGCUGAGGAGCGAAAGCGUGGGGAGCGAACAGGAUUAGAUACCCUGGUAGUCCACGCCGUAAACGUUGGGCGCUAGAUGUGGGGACCAUUCCACGGUUUCCGUGUC
This 483-nucleotide ribosomal RNA is filed under the name uncultured bacterium. RNAcentral describes it as "partial 16S ribosomal RNA". It matches the Rfam family "Bacterial small subunit ribosomal RNA", at positions 355 to 847 of the family's 1533-position model. The record is from RNAcentral.